Molecule: transfer RNA, 71 nt
Filed under: Loxodonta africana (African savanna elephant)
Lineage: Eukaryota; Metazoa; Chordata; Mammalia; Proboscidea; Elephantidae
Rfam family: tRNA
About the family: Transfer RNA (tRNA) molecules are approximately 80 nucleotides in length. Their secondary structure includes four short double-helical elements and three loops (D, anti-codon, and T loops). Further hydrogen bonds mediate the characteristic L-shaped molecular structure. tRNAs have two regions of fundamental functional importance: the anti-codon, which is responsible for specific mRNA codon recognition, and the 3' end, to which the tRNAs corresponding amino acid is attached (by aminoacyl-tRNA synthetases). tRNAs cope with the degeneracy of the genetic code in two manners: having more than one tRNA (with a specific anti-codon) for a particular amino acid; and 'wobble' base-pairing, i.e. permitting non-standard base-pairing at the 3rd anti-codon position.
Source: Rfam by way of RNAcentral
ACAUUGGUGGCUCAGUGGUAGAAUUCUCGCCGCCCAUGUGGGAGACCCAGGUUCGAUUCCUGGCCAAUGCA